GUCGAACGCUUUGUGGUUCAACUGAUUUGAAGAGCUUGCUCAGAUAUGACGAUGGACAUUGCAAAGAGUGGCGAACGGGUGAGUAACACGUGGGAAACCUACCUCUUAGCAGGGGAUAACAUUUGGAAACAGAUGCUAAUACCGUAUAACAAUAGCAACCGCAUGGUUGCUACUUAAAAGAUGGUUCUGCUAUCACUAAGAGAUGGUCCCGCGGUGCAUUAGUUAGUUGGUGAGGUAAUGGCUCACCAAGACGAUGAUGCAUAGCCGAGUUGAGAGACUGAUCGGCCACAAUGGGACUGAGACACGGCCCAUACUCCUACGGGAGGCAGCAGUAGGGAAUCUUCCACAAUGGGCGAAAGCCUGAUGGAGCAACGCCGCGUGUGUGAUGAAGGGUUUCGGCUCGUAAAACACUGUUGUAAGAGAAGAAUGACAUUGAGAGUAACUGUUCAAUGUGUGACGGUAUCUUACCAGAAAGGAACGGCUAACUACGUG
This 492-nucleotide ribosomal RNA is filed under the name Weissella cibaria. RNAcentral's name for it is "bacterial SSU rRNA". It matches the Rfam family "Bacterial small subunit ribosomal RNA", at positions 61 to 507 of the family's 1533-position model. Lineage: Bacteria; Bacillati; Bacillota; Bacilli; Lactobacillales; Lactobacillaceae. The record is from RNAcentral.